Non-coding RNA from Styela clava, 1536 nucleotides. NCBI's taxonomy places the organism in Eukaryota, Metazoa, Chordata, Ascidiacea, Stolidobranchia, Styelidae. The record is from RefSeq and is a predicted model, not a curated record.
GAAACCAGCAUUCAUAUUCGAUUUUCAACAUUACGAUUUGGUUCUCAAAUAUAUUCGAUCAGUGAUGUCUACUUUAUACGCACAAUUAUGGCUUGGUAUGAAAUACGAUCACCAGACAAAAAGAGCUUUACUGUCAAGUGGAACUACUGCUCCAUACACUAAUUAUUACCCGGGACAUCCUUCAUCUGAAGUAUCUUACACUGGAAUGGCGAUCGCCGUAAGAAAUCCAUCAAGUAGUAACCAAGGAAUGUUCAACCACCCACGUUCGUAUACUAGACACGGAGUCUUGUGCCAGAAGGAACGAUUUCCGUCAAAUUAGGAUUCUUUCUAAACUUGUUUAUCGAUUGAUAUAUAAAACGUUUAUGCGUGAAAACAUUAAUCCCGAGACAAUAAUUGUCUUCAAUCUGACUUCGUUUCAACAAUUCAUCUAAACUUUGACGGUUUUUCGUCAAAUUCAUUUACGUACAAGGAAAUCAGCUGUUCGCUUAUAAAUUGUUUGUACACAAGUAAUGCUCCGAUGUUUUCCACUUUGUUGCAACUAGGUCAGUCAGGAUUGAAUAUUUUUGAUAAUGGAAUAGAUAUUUUUACGACUUAGUUUUUGUUACGGAAUAAUUGAAACUCAGUCUUGGGUAAACUUCUAAAAUCUCAAGUACAAAGAGCUGAAAGAUAAAGAAUAUUUCACAAGCUCUUGUCAGAUAUCAGUUGACGCAAAAAUGUCAAUUUUUCAGGUCGCUCUAUCUUGUGAUCAAAAUUAAUAUUGUAAUUAGCUUUUUUUUUCAUUUGUUUUUGUAGGAAACUACAUAAUUUCACCAUAAAUUCAUUUGCAAUUACCGGUUUCGUUUGUGUCACAACGUCAGGCUAAAUAGCAAUAUCUUUGCAGACAUUUAGAAACAAUUUUCAUAUCGCGUUCUUGUGAGUUAAUAUACCGCAUUAUUAGUCUUCUUAUCCAGAGCUUUGUUCAAAACGAAGGCAUAUCAUAAUGAAGUCGAAUCAAAACCUGAAUAUUUGAUGUUGAAGUUGAGUUUUUUGUCAAAUCUACUCCGUAAUUUAUGAAUGACUCUGCUCUGAUCUCUGGAUGAAAGUUAUUCCCACUUUAUCUGAAUUCCACGAACUGAUGACGUCACGUUUGUAUUGAUGUUGAUGUUUUUACUUGUAAGCCUUUGAUAGUUGUAAUACGUAUUAGAAAUGUUAAUGCUUAAUAUAUUUUGUAUAAACAAAAUAACUAAUUGUGUAUUUAGAAUAACUUUUUAGGAAGCGUACCUAUUUUAUGUUCAUUAUCUUUUUAAUCCAAAUGGUAAAAAAGCCGGCGCUCCGUAAGUAUGCGUACCAAUAUGACGCACAACCUGAACCUAACCUGGUACACAUACUAUGUUCAGGUUGUGCGCCAUCUUGGUACAAUACUUCGGGAGCAUCAGAAAGCCAUAUAUUCUCUAUAAUCAAAAUUUCUAGCAUUAUAAAAGUGAUACCUAUAUUCUCGCAUAUAAACGGCAAAUUUAUAAAAAAAAAUUAGCAUCUAAGUCGACCAUACAAAUCAAA